Molecule: ribosomal RNA, 486 nt
Filed under: uncultured bacterium
Lineage: Bacteria
Description: partial 16S ribosomal RNA
Rfam family: Bacterial small subunit ribosomal RNA
Source: RNAcentral
GAUGAACGCUAGCGGCAGGCUUAACACAUGCGAGUCGAGGGGCAGCGCGGGAUAGCAAUAUCCUGGCGGCGACCGGCGGAAGGGUGCGUAACGCGUGAGCGACAUGCCCGUUGCCAGGGGACAACCGGUGGAAACGCCGACUAAUCCCCGAUGGGAUAUUGUGCCGCAUGGCACGAUAUUGAAAGUUACGGCGGCGACGGAUUGGCUCGCGUCCGAUUAGCUUGUUGGCGGGGUAACGGCCCACCAAGGCUGCGAUCGGUAGGGGUUCUGAGAGGAAGGCCCCCCACAAUGGGACUGAGACACGGCCCAAACUCCUACGGGAGGCAGCAGUGAGGAAUAUUGGUCAAUGGGCGGAAGCCUGAACCAGCCAUGCCGCGUGCGGGAAGGAGGCCCUAUGGGCUGUGAACCGCUUUUGCCUGGGGGCAAUAAGGGCGUCGCGCACGUCCGAUGAGAGUACCAGGCGAAUAAGCAUCGGCUAACUCCGUG